Molecule: ribosomal RNA, 251 nt
Filed under: uncultured prokaryote
Description: partial 16S rRNA
Rfam family: Bacterial small subunit ribosomal RNA
Source: RNAcentral
ACGUAGGGGGCAAGCGUUGUUCGGAAUUACUGGGCGUAAAGGGCAUGUAGGCGGUUUAGUAAGCUUGGCGUGAAAGACCACAGCUCAACUGUGGGGUUGCGUUGAGAACUGCUGAACUUGAGUUACGGAGAGGGAGCUAGAAUUCCUGGUGUAGGGGUGGCAUCUGGAUAUAUGAGGAAGAAGACCGAUGGCGAAGGCAAGCUUCUGGGCGAUAACUGACGGUGAGGUGCGAAAUUGUGGGGAGCAAACAG